Molecule: ribosomal RNA, 119 nt
Filed under: Triticum aestivum (bread wheat)
Lineage: Eukaryota; Viridiplantae; Streptophyta; Magnoliopsida; Poales; Poaceae
Source: RNAcentral
GGAUGCGAUCAUACCAGCACUAAAUCACCGGAUCCCAUCAGAACUCCGAAGUUAAGCAUGCUUGGGCGAGAGUAGUACUAGGUUGGGUGACCUCCUGGGAAGUCCUCGUGUUGCAUUCC